Molecule: ribosomal RNA, 255 nt
Filed under: uncultured bacterium
Lineage: Bacteria
Description: partial 16S ribosomal RNA
Rfam family: Bacterial small subunit ribosomal RNA
Source: RNAcentral
UACGGGGGGGGGCAAGCGUUGUUCGGAAUUACUGGGCGUAAAGGGCUCGUAGGCGGCCAACUAGGUCGGACGUGAAAUCCCUCGGCUUAACCGGGGAACUGCGUCCGAUACUGGAUGGCUCGAGUUUGGGAGAGGGAUGCGGAAUUCCAGGUGUAGCGGUGAAAUGCGUAGAUAUCUGGAGGAACACCGGUGGCGAAGGCGGCAUCCUGGACCAACACUGACGCUGAGGAGCGAAAGCCAGGGGAGCAAAGCGGG